Molecule: ribosomal RNA, 433 nt
Filed under: uncultured bacterium
Lineage: Bacteria
Description: partial 16S ribosomal RNA
Rfam family: Bacterial small subunit ribosomal RNA
Source: RNAcentral
AACGAACGCUGGCGGCAUGCCUAACACAUGCAAGUCGAACGAGACCUUCGGGUCUAGUGGCGCACGGGGGCGGAACGCGGGGGAACCUGCCCUUAGGUUCGGAAUAACUCCCCGAAAGGGGUGCUAAUACCGGAUAAGGUCUUCGGACCAAAGAUUUAUCGCCUUGGGAUGGGCCCGCGUUGGAUUCGCUAGUUGGUAGGGUAAAAGCCUACCAAGGCGACGAUCCAUAGCUGGUCUGAGAGGAUGAUCAGCCACACUGGGACUGAGACACGGCCCAGACGCCUACGGGAGGCAGCAGUGGGGAAUAUUGGACAAGGGGCGAAAGCCUGAUCCAGCAAUGCCGGGUGAGUGAUGAAGGCCUUAGGGUUGUAAAGCUCUUUUACCCGGGAUGAUAAUGACAGUACCGGGAGAAUAAGCUCCGGCUAACUCCGUG